Molecule: unclassified non-coding RNA, 217 nt
Filed under: plant metagenome
Description: partial contains small subunit ribosomal RNA, internal transcribed spacer 1, and 5.8S ribosomal RNA
Source: RNAcentral
UCUCCGUAGGUGAACCUGCGGAGGGAUCAUUACAAGUGACCCCGGUCUUACCACCGGGAUGUUCAUAACCCUUUGUUGUCCGACUCUGUUGCCUCCGGGGCGACCCUGCCUUCGGGCGGGGGCUCCGGGUGGACACUUCAAACUCUUGCGUAACUUUGCAGUCUGAGUAAACUUAAUUAACGAAUUAAAACUUUUAACAACGGAUCUCUUGGUUCUG